UUUCCCUCUGGCGGCAGGCCUAACACAUGCGAGUCGAGCGGAUGAAGGGAGCUUGCUCCUGGAUUCAGCGGCGGACGGGUGAGUAAUGCCUAGGAAUCUGCCUGGUAGUGGGGGAUAACGUCCGGAAACGGGCGCUAAUACCGCAUACGUCCUGAGGGAGAAAGUGGGGGAUCUUCGGACCUCACGCUAUCAGAUGAGCCUAGGUCGGAUUAGCUAGUUGGUGGGGUAAAGGCCUACCAAGGCGACGAUCCGUAACUGGUCUGAGAGGAUGAUCAGUCACACUGGAACUGAGACACGGUCCAGACUCCUACGGGAGGCAGCAGUGGGGAAUAUUGGACAAUGGGCGAAAGCCUGAUCCAGCCAUGCCGCGUGUGUGAAGAAGGUCUUCGGAUUGUAAAGCACUUUAAGUUGGGAGGAAGGGCAGUAAGUUAAUACCUUGCUGUUUUGACGUUACCAACAGAAUAAGCACCGGCUAACUUCGUG
Molecule: ribosomal RNA, 483 nt
Filed under: uncultured bacterium
Lineage: Bacteria
Description: partial 16S ribosomal RNA
Rfam family: Bacterial small subunit ribosomal RNA
Source: RNAcentral